UGGAGCUGCGGCUUAAUUUGACUCAACACGGGGAAACUCACCCGGCCCGGACACCGUAAGAAUUGACAGAUUGAUAGCUUUUUCAUGAUUCGGUGGAUGGUGGUGCAUGGCCGUUCUUAGUUCGUGGAGCGAUUUGUCUGGUUUAUUCCGAUAACGAGCGAGACUCUAGCCUACUAAAUAGUUGGCUCAUUGCUGCUGUGGGCACAACUUCUUAGAGGGAUUUUCGGUGUUCAGCCGCACGAAAUUGAGCAAUAACAGGUCUGUGAUGCCCUUAGAUGUCCGGGGCUGCACGCGCGCUACACUGGCAAAAUCAGCGUGCUUGUCCUUCCCCGAAAGGGGUUGGUAAACCGGUGAAAAUUUGCCGUGAUUGGGAUCGGACAUUGCAAUUAUUGUCCGUGAACGAGGAAUUCCUUGUAGGGGCGAGUCAUCAACUCGCUCUGAAUACGUCCCUGCGSCUUUGUACACACCGCCCGUCGCUGCCCGGGACUGAGCCAUUUCGAGAAACUCGGGGACGAUUAUGCGUGUCGGCUUCGGUCGUCGCGUUGAAUUGG
Molecule: ribosomal RNA, 551 nt
Filed under: Globodera rostochiensis
Lineage: Eukaryota; Metazoa; Nematoda; Chromadorea; Rhabditida; Heteroderidae
Description: SSU rRNA
Rfam family: Eukaryotic small subunit ribosomal RNA
Source: RNAcentral